GCUCGGCCCGGGUGCUGCCGCCGGAGCUCACGCCCGGUUGUCGGCCGGGCUGUGUGCGUGCCUUGAUGCGCACCAGUUUGACCUCCGGCGGCUGAGCGC
Molecule: transfer RNA, 99 nt
Filed under: Catellatospora chokoriensis
Lineage: Bacteria; Bacillati; Actinomycetota; Actinomycetes; Micromonosporales; Micromonosporaceae
Description: tRNA-Asp
Source: RNAcentral